Molecule: unclassified non-coding RNA, 290 nt
Filed under: Hevea brasiliensis (rubber tree)
Lineage: Eukaryota; Viridiplantae; Streptophyta; Magnoliopsida; Malpighiales; Euphorbiaceae
Source: RNAcentral
GAGGAUGAUCAAGAAUAGAGAGUCAGCUGCACGAUCUCGGGCUAGGAAGCAGGCAUAUACUGUGGAGUUGGAGCUAGAGUUGAAUCAACUUAAAGAAGAGAAUGCUAAGCUAAAGCAAAUGGUGGAGGAAAUAGAGCAGAACCGAAAGGAAGAGGUUAUGAAAAGGAAACCAUCAAUACUGCCAUUCAAGAAAGGUGAUAAACUGAAGAGCUUAAGGAGGACAGUGAGCUUGACUUGGUGAAUGAGAAGAAGAAAGGAUAACGAAACUGCAUGAUAAAAGGCAGUUUGGC